GGGGAUAUAGCUCAGUUGGUAGAGUGCUUGUCUUGCAUGCACAAGGCCCUGGGUUUGAUCCCCAGCACCACCA
Molecule: transfer RNA, 73 nt
Filed under: Ictidomys tridecemlineatus (thirteen-lined ground squirrel)
Lineage: Eukaryota; Metazoa; Chordata; Mammalia; Rodentia; Sciuridae
Description: Spermophilus tridecemlineatus (thirteen-lined ground squirrel) tRNA
Rfam family: tRNA
About the family: Transfer RNA (tRNA) molecules are approximately 80 nucleotides in length.
Source: Rfam by way of RNAcentral